This is an RNA transcript of Xiphophorus hellerii (green swordtail), 5946 nucleotides long. RefSeq lists it as uncharacterized. The record is from RefSeq and is a predicted model, not a curated record. The transcript is spliced from 2 exons. NCBI's taxonomy places the organism in Eukaryota, Metazoa, Chordata, Actinopteri, Cyprinodontiformes, Poeciliidae.
GUGGUCACUUUUAUUACUACAACUUGUUUACCAGAAAGGAAGAAGGCCUGUUGAUCCAUGUGCUCUGAAAGAAGCCCUUUUUGUUGUGUUUUCUUUAAUCUAAGUGCGAAAAGGGGAAAACAGCAUCGUCUGUAAGUACUGUUCUAAUUUGCUUGUCAUAUAAAUCAUAAUUUGUAACCCGUUGACAUGUUUAUGUGAAGAUGGACAUUUUUACUUGUGUCAGCCCAAUGUGUUAGCCUAGCUGGCAUUCAUUUUCUGUACCUUUGUGUGUUACAGUUUUACACGAUUCUCAUUAAACCCUGCUAAAGAACCAAAUGGAGUGCUUCUUGGUGGACGGAUGGGAAAGUGUUUAUCUACCUGUAUAGCUGAGUUACUGCUGAAAGUCACAGUGCUUAGCGAGGCCAGGACAGUAAAAAGACGUAGUAAAAAGACAUCCCAUGCAGAAAAGACAAAGGAAAAAGACAACUUCUGAGCCAUGGACAACAAAGAUAAUGAACAGAAGGCAAGUGAUGAGCAAUCAAAUAAGGACAUGGAUCAAAAUACAGUGUACCACGUCCGUUCCAUAGCCUCACGGUCAUCUACGUGCUUCUCAGUCAGUUUGGCCGCAGCUAAAGCAAGAGCUAAGGCUGAAGCAGCUAAAGCUCAAUUGGAGUUUCAUGAAAAAGAGACACAUAUUCAGAUUGAGAAGGUAAAACUUGAAGCAUCACUGCGUGCACUCACUCUUCAAAAGGAAGUUACAGCUACUAAUGCUGAAGCAAAAGUAUUUGAGGCAGUAGCAGCAGACAUAGAAGAAGGAAAAUGCAGUGAGACAUCCGAGCGCAGCCCUGUAGCCAUACAAACACUGAAAAGGACAGAAGACUAUGUAAAAGAGCAGUCAUCUUACUUCAGUCAAUACAACUACAACAAGGAUGAGGGGACUCACUCACACCCACCUAACACUAUGCCCAAUGCUGUUAACAUGCAACAAUAUACAGUACCUAUGCCUGCUGCUGUAACCACGCAACAAUACGCAGCAUCAGAUGAAUUCAAGUCUCUUCCCAUUCAUCAGCUAGAUGUGACAGGAGGGCACGUUGAACAAUCCCCCAACUUUAACUCUUACCAUGGAGGUGACACAAUGCACAACGUUAAUGUGAAAACUGCUGUCCCUACCUCUAACGUAAACUCAGGAAAUCCCACAUUUGACCUGGCAAGGUUUUUAGCACGCAACCAAGUCAUAACAUCUGGUCUAGUCAAAUUUGAUGACACUGCAGAACAUUAUCAAGCAUGGCGAGCUUCCUUCAUCAGUGCUAUAGAACCACUAGGGCUGACACCUAGUGAAGAAGUUGAUCUGAUGGUGAAAUGGCUUGGCAAGGAGUCAAGUGAGCAUGCGGCCAGAAUAAGAGUAGUUAAUGUUAACCGGCCUAUGGAUGGACUAAAAGCAAUAUGGGCAAGACUGGACAAAAUAUAUGGCUCACCAGAGGCAAUUGAAAAUGCUCUUUUCUCAAGACUUGAAGCUUUUCCCAAAAUCCAAUCCAGAGAUAACCACAAACUUCAAGAGCUAGCAGAUCUUCUAGAAGAGCUCCAGAUUGCAAAGCAAAGUGACAAGUUGUGUGGUUUAGCCUAUUUGGACACGGCUAGAGGUGUCGGGCCUAUUGUAGAGAAGCUCCCCUACCCUCUACAGGAACGCUGGAUGUCACAAGGUUCUAGAUUUAAAAGAGAUUAUAACGUGUCUUUCUCACCAUUUUCCUUCUUCAAAGAAUUUGUGUGCUCAGAAGCUGAAGUAAGGAAUGAUCCAAGUUUUAAGACUCUCUCACUCACGUGUGCUCCUCAGAGAAAGGAAAAAUGUGCACCAGUCAGACACCCAGUUGCUGUCAAUAAAACAAAUGUCACACAAGAUCAAAUAAGCACUCCUGUCAAAUCAACAGAGAAAAUCCCUGUUAACCCAGAAAAACAAUGCCCUAUCCAUAACAAACCGCACCCAUUGAGUAAGUGCAGAGGAUUUGUUAAAAUGACUCUUGAUGAACGCAAAAAACUUCUCAAAGAACACACGAUCUGCUAUCGCUGCUGUGCUUCUACAAGUCAUAUGGCCAAAAACUGUCAAGCUCCAAUCAAAUGUUUUGAAUGUGCAAGUGACAAACAUGUUAGUGCCAUGCAUUUCAGUGGAACAAGCGCAGUUCAAUCCUCAAGUCAACCCCCACCGUGUGCAGAGGACGGCGGGGAGGAAGAGACGAAACAGGCAUAGGACACUGUGGCAUAGGACAAAGUGGUAAAUCGUGUUCCAAGAUUAUUCUGGUUAACGUGUAUCCCUCAGGUCAACAGCAGAGGAGUAUGAGGAUGUAUGCAGUUCUGGAUGACCAGAGCAAUCUCUCCCUGGCAAGAAGUGAGUUUUUUGAUAAGUUUGACAUACACGGCACUGAGGCUCCUUACAGCAUUACAACGUGUAUGGGCGCAACACAAGCAUAUGGAAGGAGAGCCCAUGGUUAUGUGAUAGAGUUUCUAGACAAAGAAACAUGUCUGCAGCUUCCCACAUUGAUUGAAUGUGACAAUCUCCCUAACAACAGGAAAGAAAUCCCAACACCGGAAGUGGCCUAUCACCACAACCACCUGAACAAAAUAGCUUCAGAAAUCCCUCCUCUCAACCCCAAUGCUGAGAUUCUCCUGCUGAUAGGAAGAGACCUGUUGAGAGUGCACAAAGUACGGAAACAGAUAAACAGACUGAAUAAAUGAACCAUUUGCACAAAAAUUGGAUCUCGGCUGGGUGGUAGUCGGUGAUGUCUGUGUCAAUGGAAUGCAUGGGCCUCCAACAGUGAGCAGCAUGAAGACAUACAUAUCUGACAGUGGCAGACCUACAUUUUUAGGGUGUGAGAACAAAAAUAAAAGUAAGAGACUUGUACACAGAAACAUCAGACACACUUUCGGUGUUUUCAAGAACAAUUCAUGAUCACCAGUUAGCUCCCUCUAUUGAAGACAAACGCUUCUUGGAAAUAAUGGAAAAAGGCUUUCUCCAAGAUGAUUCAAAUAGCUGGGUCGCCCCUCUCCCAUUCCGGCAUCCUCGUCGCAAGUUACCUAAUAACAGAGAAUAUGCAGAGAAACAUUUUGCCUCUCUGGAAUGCAAUCUUCAGAAGAAACCUGAAAUGAAAAGGCACUUUUUGGCGUUUAUGCAAAGGCUGUUUAAUAAUCAUCACGCUGAGCUUGCUCCACCACUCGAAGAAAAGGAAAGGUGAUACUUACCCACUUUUGGAGUUUAUCAUCCGCAAAAGCCCAGCCAAAUACGUGUCGUGUUUGAAUCAUCAGCACAGUUUGACGGCGUCUCACUGAAUGACGUUUUGCUGCAGGGUCCAGACCUAAGUAACAGUCUACUUGGAGUUCUGAUGAGAUUCAGAAUAGGCCCAAUCGGAGUUUUAGCAGAUAUAGAGCAGAUGUUCCACUGCUUUGUGGUUCAAGAAGAGUGCAGAGACAUGCUCAGGUUUUUGUGGUACCACGACAAUCAGCCAGGGAACGAAGUGGUUGAAUACCGCAUGAGGGUUCACAUAUUUGGGAACAGUCCAUCACCUGCAAUCGCCAUUUAUGGCCUACGGAGGGCAGCAAAGGAAAUGGAGCAAGUCUAUGGCAGCAAAACAACAGAGUCAGUGGAGAGACAUUUUUACAUGGACGACGCAGUGCUGUCUUUCACAUCAGAAGCCGAGGCCACUGUCAGUAACAGAGUACAGCGCAUCAGACAAGUGUCUCAGCCUAAUCAGUGGAGAUUUGUGCCCACCGAACUCAAUCCAACAGAUUGUGGCUCGACAUCAGUUGCAGCAGAAGAGCUUGUCAACACCCUCUGGUUAACUGGACCAAGAUUCCUCACAGACACGAUCUCGACGAAGAUUGGUUCAGACGAACAAUACUUGCUUAUCAAUCCAGAUGAUGACAGGUCAGGGUGAACGCCACCAAUGUGGUAACAGAGUCAUCAACUCACAAACUAUUUUCAAGUCGCUUUGAACAUUUUUCAAACUGGAAAUCUCUCCUGAAAGCGGUUGCCAGACUCAUUCACAUCGCUCAAAGCUUCUCAAACAAAAACAGCAACAGCUGUCGAGGUUGGUGUUACUGCAACAACAUCUCAUCUUCAGAAAUGGAUAAAGCGGAGCGACUGAUCAUUCACACAGUGCAACAACAGUGCUUCUCACAGGAAAUCUCUGCAGUCAGGAAAGACCAAAGUCUAUCAAAGAACAGCCCUAUUCUCAGACUCAAUCCAUUCAUCGACAAUGAGGGGCUCCUAAGAGUUGGAGGACGUUUGCAGCAUUCUAUGUUACAAAGAAACGAGUCAAAUCCGAUCAUAAUACCCAACAAACACCACAUUGCAACUCUGCUAGUGCGUCAUCAUCACGAGAGAGUGAAAUACCAGGGAAGGCAUCUAACAGAAGGAGCCGUUCGCACCAGUGGACUGUGGUUGGUUGGAGGUAAGCGGCUCAUAAGCACCAUCAUUCACAAGUGUGUGUUGCAGAAAGCUAUGUGGACUGUCAGAACAACAGCUUAUGUCUGACCUACCUGAAGAAAGGCUCAAAGUGGACCCACCAUUCUCAUAUGUGGGCCUGGAUGUCUUUGGCCCGUGGGAGAUUGUGACAAAACGUACAAGAGGAGGCCAACUAAACAACAAAAGGUGGGCAGUGUUGUUCACAUGCAUGUCUACCAGGGUUGAGGUUGUGGAAACAAUGACUGCCUCAAGCUUUAUCAAUGCUCUCCGGAGAUUCUUUUCACUCCGCGGACCAGCCAAGCAACUCAGGUCUGACAGAGGGACCAACUUUAUUGGCGCCUGUAAUGAGCUGAAACUAUCACCGCAAGAUGCCAAUAACAUGAUCAAAGAUUAUCUAACAGAACAGAGGUGCACAUGGGAAUUCAACCCGCCCCAUGCGUCCCACAUGGAAUUUGGGAAAGAAUGAUUGGGGUUUCUCGCCGCAUUCUAGAUGCUCUACUCCUAGAUGUGAAGCAACCUCAGCUCACCCACGAAGUUUUGGUGACCUUCAUGGCAGAGGUCACAGCUAUCGUUAAUGCCAGACCCCUUGUGUCGAUUUCCACAGACCCUGAAGCUCCACUGGUCUUAACUCCAGCUAUGCUUCUUACUCAGAAAACAGGAGCUCCUCCUCCAGUUCCAGACAACCUGACAGAGAAGGAUGUCUUCAAGAGUCAAUGGAAGAAAGUUCAGAUACUAGCCAACAACUUUUGGACAAGAUGGCAGAAAGAAUAUCUCUGCACCAUUCAAGGUCGUCAAAAGUGGCUCGUAAAGAAAACAAAUCUCAAGGAAGGAGAUGUUGUCCUCCUGAGGGAUUCCACUGCUAAGCGCAACGAGUGGCCCAUGGGACUUGUUGUUAAGACAUACCCCAGCAAGGACGGGCUUGUGAGAAAAGUGGAUGUUAAAGUUGCAAAACAUCAGGGUGUAAAGACAUUCAGCCGACCAAUCUCAGAAUUGAUUCUUCUAUUGACACCUAGUAAUGUGGACAUUUGAUUUAGUGGCAUCUCUUAAAGACGCCAGGCGGGGAGUGUAGUGAAACCUGUUUAUUUUAAUGUUAUUCAACAUGAAGUUCACCUGCUGAGGCCACCUAGUGGCAAAUGUUAUAAUUUUGUCUAUUGCUGGUUCACUGACGCCAUCUUGUGGUCACUUUUAUUACUACAACUUGUUUACCAGAAAGGAAGAAGGCCUGUUGAUCCAUGUGCUCUGAAAGAAGCCCUUUUUGUUGUGUUUUCUUUAAUCUAAGUGCGAAAAGGGGAAAACAGCAUCGUCUUUUUACACGAUUCUCAUUAAACCCUGCUAAAGAACCAAAUGGAGUGCUUCUUGGUGGACGGAUGGGAAAGUGUUUAUCUACCUGUAUAGCUGAGUUACUGCUGAAAGUCACAGUGCUUAGCGAGGCCAGGACAUACACAGAGGCAGAAUAAGAUCCAAAGUCACUUUUUACACUCCUUCCGCUUCUUUAAGCUGCAGGAAAAAAAUUA